This 72-nucleotide transfer RNA is filed under the name Hordeum vulgare. Its description in RNAcentral is "tRNA-OTHER". Lineage: Eukaryota; Viridiplantae; Streptophyta; Magnoliopsida; Poales; Poaceae. The record is from RNAcentral.
CAUAGAGUAGCUUAGUGGUAGCGCGCCUGUUGUGUGUGCAGGUGGUCGCGGGUUCGAUCCCCCCCCCUCGCG